RNAcentral lists this non-coding RNA (183 nucleotides) under Bacillota bacterium. Its description in RNAcentral is "Firmicutes bacterium T-box sequence". It matches the Rfam family "T-box leader". Rfam says of the family: Uncharged tRNA acts as the effector for transcription antitermination of genes in the T-box leader family. T-boxes are found upstream of many aminoacyl-tRNA synthetase genes and some amino acid biosynthetic genes usually in Gram-positive bacteria. The anticodon of a specific tRNA base pairs to a specifier sequence within the T-box motif, and the NCCA acceptor tail of the tRNA base pairs to a conserved bulge in the T-box antiterminator hairpin. The record is from RNAcentral. Lineage: Bacteria; Bacillati; Bacillota.
UUAAAUGUGAUGACGGGAAGAGUAACUUGAUCCAAGGGCAAAGAGAGUCGGCGAAGGGUGAAAGCCGAACCUUACGAUGAGUGAACAUGAACCCCGAACUGCCGAAUCGGCCGCGAGCUGGCGUUACAGUAAGAGUGCACCGUAAGGUGAACUAAGGUGGUACCACGCAGAAGCGUCCUUAGA